UACGGAGGGUGCAAGCGUUAUCCGGAUUUACUGGGCUUAAAGGGUGUGUAGGCGGACUUUUAAGUCCGUGGUGAAAUCUCCGGGCUCAACCCGGAAACUGCCAUGGAUACUAUAGGUCUUGAAUGUUGUUGAGGUGGGCGGAACGGGUCAUGUAGCGGUGAAAUGCAUAGAUAUGACCCGGAACACCGAUUGCGAAGGCAGCCCACUAAGCAACGAUUGACGCUGAGGCACGAAAGCGUGGGGAUCAAACAGG
RNAcentral lists this ribosomal RNA (253 nucleotides) under uncultured bacterium. Its description in RNAcentral is "partial 16S ribosomal RNA". It matches the Rfam family "Bacterial small subunit ribosomal RNA", at positions 524 to 776 of the family's 1533-position model. The record is from RNAcentral.